UUGGAAGGCUGACUUUCUACCACUCUCCCACCUUCCAGUCCCAUAAACUAAAAAUAACCAGAGGCUGGUAUGUCGGAGCAUGGAGUGGACAGUGAAGCUUCAAGGAAUUCCUCACAUGGUGCCUGUAGAUGCACUACCAGUGGCUGGACAAGUUACAAUAGGAGAGCUUAAGAGAAUGGCAAAGGACCUGAUGAAUUGCAUUCUAAGGUACAGGAGGAACUGGCUGGUGGUCCGGCUGAACCCUUAUACGUUUGGGAAAUUCUGGAAAAAUGGUGAAAUGCCAGAAAUUGGAGGAAAGCAAAUGCUGUCACUAUCUUCAAAAGGAGGAUAAAGGAAAAUCCAGCAGACUGUAGAUCAACCAGUCUGACAUCAAUCCCAGGGAAGAUUCUAGAGGAAUCAUAAAGAGAUAGAUCUGUAAGUAUCUUGAAAACAAUGCAGCCAUUACCAGCAUAGAUUUGCCAAGCAGAAGUCCUAUCAAAUGAACUUAAUCUUAUUUUUUUAAUUAGGCAAUUCCCUUACUACAUGGUGAGAAUGAUCUAGACAUAAUAUAUCAGUGUUCAUCAAUGGUUCCUCAUCAAAUUGGAGAGAGGUAUCAAGUGAAGUGCAACAGGAUUUAGUUUAGUGUCCUCUGUUCUUCAAUAUUUGUAUUAGUGACUUAGAUGAACAAGUGUAGGAAAUACUAAUCAGCUUCACAGAUAACACAAAAUCGGGUGGAACAGGUAACA
Molecule: long non-coding RNA, 725 nt
Organism: Python bivittatus (Burmese python)
Lineage: Eukaryota; Metazoa; Chordata; Lepidosauria; Squamata; Pythonidae
Source: RefSeq, a predicted model, not a curated record